Molecule: ribosomal RNA, 253 nt
Filed under: uncultured bacterium
Lineage: Bacteria
Description: partial 16S ribosomal RNA
Rfam family: Bacterial small subunit ribosomal RNA
Source: RNAcentral
GACAGAGGGUGCAAACGUUGUUCGGAAUUACUGGGCGUAAAGCGCGUGUAGGCGGCAGGGCAAGUCGGAUGUGAAAGCCCACGGCUCAACCGUGGAAGUGCACCCGAAACUGCCCAGCUAGAGUCUCGGAGAGGAAGGUGGAAUGCUUGGUGUAGAGGUGAAAUUCGUAGAUAUCAAGCGGAACACCGGUGGCGAAGGCGGCCUUCUGGACGAUGACUGACGCUGAGACGCGAAAGCGUGGGGAGCAAACAGG